Molecule: ribosomal RNA, 253 nt
Filed under: uncultured bacterium
Lineage: Bacteria
Description: partial 16S ribosomal RNA
Rfam family: Bacterial small subunit ribosomal RNA
Source: RNAcentral
UACGUAGGGUGCAAGCGUUGUCCGGAAUUAUUGGGCGUAAAGAGCUUGUAGGCGGUUUGUCGCGUCUGCUGUGAAAUUUCGGGGCUCAACCCCGAACUUGCAGUGGGUACGGGCAGACUAGAGUGUGGUAGGGGAGACUGGAAUUCCUGGUGUAGCGGUGAAAUGCGCAGAUAUCGGGAGGAACACCGGUGGCGAAGGCGGUUCUCUGGGCCUUACCUGACGCUGAGGAGCGAAAGCGUGGGGAGCGAACAGG